GSUGRSGGMGCUACCAUGCAAGUCGAGCGGUAACAGAUCUAGCUUGCUACAUGCUGACGAGCGGCGGACGGGUGAGUAAUGCAUAGGAAUCUGCCCGAUAGUGGGGGAUAACCUGGGGAAACCCAGGCUAAUACCGCAUACGUCCUACGGGAGAAAGGGGGCUYCGGCUCCCGCUAUCGGAUGAGCCUAUGUCGGAUUAGCUGGUUGGUGAGGUAAWGGCUCACCAAGGCGACGAUCCGUAGCUGGUCUGAGAGGAUGAUCAGCCACAUCGGGACUGAGACACGGCCCGAACUCCUACGGGAGGCAGCAGUGGGGAAUAUUGGACAAUGGGGGSAACCCUGAUCCAGCCAUGCCGCGUGUGUGAAGAAGGCCCUCGGGUUGUAAAGCACUUUCAGUGAGGAAGAACGCCUGGUGGUUAAUACCCAUCAGGAAAGACAUCACUCACAGAAGAAGCACCGGCUAACUCCGUGCCAGCAGCCGCGGUGRMR
The sequence is a ribosomal RNA, 488 nucleotides long. It matches the Rfam family "Bacterial small subunit ribosomal RNA", at positions 39 to 525 of the family's 1533-position model.